RNAcentral lists this ribosomal RNA (469 nucleotides) under Nesterenkonia sandarakina. Its description in RNAcentral is "bacterial SSU rRNA". It matches the Rfam family "Bacterial small subunit ribosomal RNA", at positions 1 to 485 of the family's 1533-position model. Lineage: Bacteria; Bacillati; Actinomycetota; Actinomycetes; Micrococcales; Micrococcaceae. The record is from RNAcentral.
UAGAGUUUGAUCCAUGGCUCAGGAUGAACGCUGGCGGCGUGCUUAACACAUGCAAGUCGAACGAUGAAGACCGUGCUUGCACGGUUGGAUUAGUGGCGAACGGGUGAGUAUCACGUGAGUAACCUUCCCUUAACUCUGGGAUAAGCCCGGGAAACUGGGUCUAAUACCGGAUACGACCAGUCCUCGCAUGGGGUGCUGGUGGAAAGAUUUAUCGGUUUUGGAUGGACUCCCGGCCUAUCAGCUUGUUGGUGAGGUAAUAGCUCACCAAGGCGAUGACGGGUAGCCGGCCUGAGAGGGUGACCGGCCACACUGGGACUGAGACACGGCCCAGACUCCUACGGGAGGCAGCAGUGGGGAAUAUUGCACAAUGGGCGAAAGCCUGAUGCAGCGACGCCGCGUGCGGGAUGACGGCCUUCGGGUUGUAAACCGCUUUCAGCAGGGAAGAAGCGAAAGUGACGGUACCUGCAGA